This 544-nucleotide long non-coding RNA is filed under the name Nicotiana benthamiana. RNAcentral's name for it is "long non-coding RNA (NBEN_LNC034670)". The record is from RNAcentral. Lineage: Eukaryota; Viridiplantae; Streptophyta; Magnoliopsida; Solanales; Solanaceae.
CGCCGGGUUCAACUUCCACUGGUGAUGGCGAUUCCUUCUUGAAAAACAGUAUAUUCAGUUGAAUCUUCAUAUUAUAAUAAUAAGAUCGAAUCAAUUCCUAUUCGAAAAGAGGAUUUCAUCAUACCUGGCUUUCCUAACCUUACAACUGGCACUGAGACUUUACUUUAUCAAGCUGGAAAUAGGGAACUCCUUUUUGGAACUGCCUUUGAUCUUAGGCUCGCAGCUACUAGGUGCGUACCCUUGAACCUAGCGUUCUAAGGAAUAAAGAAUAAUCGGAUCAUGAAAUUCGAUCUCUCAGCGCUGGGAUGCCCGCUCCCGCUGCUCUUCGAUCUUCAGAGAAGGAAGACCGAGUCAAAGUCAAGAAAGGGGCUGAGAGAGACUAUUUCCGAACUUUCUAUUACAUAAAUUCCCCAGGGACCCCCCUCCUAAUAAAGCUAAUAGGGCCAGAGCUCUUCCUACAAGUCCGGUACUAGGCUAAAUCAACCCCGUCUGUCGCUAUCGGUGUCGAUUCCCUCCUUGGACUAGGCUAUUCCAUAGGGAUUAG